RNAcentral lists this ribosomal RNA (433 nucleotides) under uncultured bacterium. RNAcentral describes it as "partial 16S ribosomal RNA". It matches the Rfam family "Bacterial small subunit ribosomal RNA", at positions 29 to 507 of the family's 1533-position model. The record is from RNAcentral.
AACGAACGCUGGCGGCAUGCCUAACACAUGCAAGUCGAACGAGCCCUUCGGGUCUAGUGGCGCACGGGUGCGUAACGCGUGGGAACCUGCCCUUAGGUUCGGAAUAACUCCCCGAAAGGGGUGCUAAUACCGGAUAAUGUCUUCGGACCAAAGAUUUAUCGCCCUUGGAUGGGCCCGCGUUGGAUUAGCUAGUUGGUAGGGUAAAAGCCUACUAAGGCGACGAUCCAUAGCUGGUUUGAGAGGAUGAUCAGCCACACUGGGACUGAGACACGGCCCAGACUCCUCCGGGAGGCAGCAAAGGGUGAUAUUGGACAAUGGGCUGAAUCCUGAUCCAGCAAUGCCGCGUGAGUUAUGAAGGCCUUAGGGUUGUAAAGCUCUUUUACCCGGGAUGAUAAUGACAGUACCGGGAGAAUAAGCUCCGGCUAACUCCGUG